CAGUAGCCGCGGGAACACGUAGGUGGCAAGCGUUGUCCGGAAUUAUUGGGCGUAAAGGGCUCGCGGGCGGUUUCUUAAGUCUGAUGUGAAAGCCCCCGGCUCAACCGGGGAGGGUCAUUGGAAACUGGGAAACUUGAGUGCAGAAGAGGAGAGUGGAAUUCCACGUGUAGCGGUGAAAUGCGUAGAGAUGUGGAGGAACACCAGUGGCGAAGGCGACUCUCUGGUCUGUAACUGACGCUGAGGAGCGAAAGCGUGGGGAGCGAACAGGAUUAGAUACCCCAGUAGUCCCUGUCUCUUAUAC
RNAcentral lists this ribosomal RNA (301 nucleotides) under uncultured bacterium. Its description in RNAcentral is "partial 16S ribosomal RNA". It matches the Rfam family "Bacterial small subunit ribosomal RNA", at positions 509 to 807 of the family's 1533-position model. The record is from RNAcentral.